GUCUAUGGCCAUACCACCCUGAAUGAGCCCAAUCUUGUCUGAUCUUGGAAGCUAAGCAGGGUCGGGCCUGGUUAGUACAUGGAUGGGAGACUGCCUGGGAAUAGCCGGUGCUGCUGUAGAUU
Molecule: ribosomal RNA, 122 nt
Filed under: Sorex araneus (European shrew)
Lineage: Eukaryota; Metazoa; Chordata; Mammalia; Eulipotyphla; Soricidae
Source: RNAcentral